CCUACGGGGGGCUGCAGUAGGGAAUGUUGCGCAAUGGGCGAAAGCCUGACGCAGCAACGCCGCGUGAACGAGACGCCCUUCGGGGUGUAAAGUUCUGUCAGUGGGGACGAAAAAUGACGGUACCCACAGAGGAAGCACCGGCUAACUCCGUGCCAGCAGCCGCGGUAAUACGGAGGGUGCAAGCGUUGUCCGGAAUCAUUGGGCGUAAAGAGUUCGUAGGCGGCAUGGAAAGUCAGGUGUUAAAGGCGCAGGCUCAACCUGUGGAUGGCACUUGAUACUUGCAAGCUGGAAUGCGGUAGAGGUCACGUGAAUUCCUGGUGUAGCGGUGAAAUGCUUAGCUAUCAGGAGGAACAUCGGUGGCGUACGCGCUUUACUGGGCCGUAAUUGACGCUGAGGCACGAACGCCAGUGUAGCAAAUCGGAUUAGAUACCCGGGUAGUC
Molecule: ribosomal RNA, 440 nt
Filed under: uncultured bacterium
Lineage: Bacteria
Description: partial 16S ribosomal RNA
Rfam family: Bacterial small subunit ribosomal RNA
Source: RNAcentral